Molecule: long non-coding RNA, 2410 nt
Filed under: Monomorium pharaonis (pharaoh ant)
Lineage: Eukaryota; Metazoa; Arthropoda; Insecta; Hymenoptera; Formicidae
Description: uncharacterized LOC118644358
Source: RNAcentral
UGUGACUCACUUUUGUUUGGCUCUAUAUUUCAUGCCUACCGGCACUGCCGUCAAUUUAUGUCGGCUUUCAAAACCAGAUAACCAAAAUAUCGAUAUGGCAAAUUGACAAGUCGUACAUUUGAAACAUUGCGUGUUUAAAUAUUCUAAUGUACAUGUGCUAAUUUUGUAAAAACAUUGGAAAUACUGCAACACUCACUGUAUACACUCAACUUAUCUAUUAUCUUAAAGAAGAAUCGAAAGCAUUUUAGAGCGUUAAAAGCGAUGCGGGUUGAUUGAUCAUUCUGUGAUUCAACCAUCGACGAAAUAUUCGGUUUCGAUGCGUUGCUGAUACGAUAUAGCGGCAUCAAAAGCAACCGGGCUGGUACACCGUUCUAAAUUACAAAAUCGACUUUGCAGACAAUCGAUAGGUUUGUCGUUGCACUCGGACUAUUGACGAGUGAUCACAUGCGCCCAUCCUAAUAUCAGAUUUAACGUCGACAUGGGGGAAGACAAACAGUCCUCGUAUUGGAUGAUGAAACGCGGGACGCGACAAACAUAUGGCUCCGAAAUGCCGCUGUAAUAACGGGAUGUAAAUUUACCAGGAUAGACGAACGCGGCGUACCGCAUCAUGAAAAUUCCACGCAGUUCGUUUCGAAUACGUUUUUAAGCGAACGUUCGCAUAUACUGCGAGAUAUUUCACUCUGCAAUCCAUAAAUUGUGGAAAUUAUGAAUAAAAAUUGGGUAAAAGCGUCGAUAAUUUAUGGGAAGCAUUGUAAUUAUACAUUAUAUUUUUUCAUGCUAGUAAGUAGGAUUAUUUUAUAUUUAUUGCACGUUUUAUAGAGAUAUAUUUAUACAUAUUUGAUAAUUCUUUACGAUUUAUAUUAUUUUUUAUCGAUUUUUUGUUUGAAAAAAAUAUUAAUUUAAAUUUAAAAGAUUUAUUUAUAAAUAUAUUUAUUUAUACAUUCGGAAAAGAUUAAUUGUAUCUAUUAUAUCAAAACUCAGUUGCAUUUUAAUAUGUAAAUAUUAAUUUUAAUAUAUAUUAUUUGGUAUUCAAAUUUAAGUGAAGUUGAAAACAAAAUUUUUAGAAAUAGGUAGUAUAUCUAUGAAGUGAUAAAUUGUUUCUAUAUAUUUUGCAUUUAACGUACUUGUAUGGUAUGCUAUAUGAAUAAUGCAUAAAUUAGACGUUUAUAUUGAAAUUACAUUUCCUGACUUUGUACAACAAAUGGGUCAUGUAAAUGUUAAAAAAUGCAGAAAGGGAGAGAGAGAGAGAGAGAGAGAGAGAGAGAGAGGCGGGAAAGGGGUAUAUUAAUCGAGUGAAAUAGUUUAGCUCGUUUCUGAGCGGAAUUUGCCAGCUCGCAAACCAGCAUCGCAACAGUCAUUAGUUAAGCGACAAAGUAGUUUAUAACCCUAACGAGCAUCGCACUAACGAACCGAUAAACAUAUCACCCUUAGUCUCGUAACUGGAUAGCAUAAACACUCGAAUCCUAGCGCAGCACAAGACGAGAACGAGAAAUGAUCGCGUCGCGAUUCCGCGGCUAUGAUUGUUCAGGACUACUGUUAAUGACAACCUUCUCUUAUAACAUCGUGUCCCUUUGUUUUUACGAGCAGUGUGACCGGCGUAACUGGCGAGUUUCAUUCGCGCUUAAUGCGCGACUCGCGUCGCGCGAUCCCGACAUUCAACUGGUCAUUUAAUACGCCUUUCUUGCAGAGGAUUGCAAUGACGCGACCGCGAUUCAAUAAACGUGAAUAGUGUAAGCACGAAAAAGUCGGGUUUAAUUACACUGACAAUGAGAAAAAUAUCUGGUGAGAUAUUAACCAGAAUUCUGGUUACACGAUUAUUCAUUAUACGGUUUAGUAAUCUGAGUUCUGGUGAGAUUAUCCAGAAUUCUGGCUAGACUGAAAAAAAUAUCUGGUGAGACUAAUCAGAAAUCUGGUUACACGAUUAUUCGCUAGAAUUUUUUAGUUAAUUUCACCAGAUACUUUUCUCAGUGUAGAUAUCCUCCGUAUUGUCGAGAUACGGAAAAUAUCUCAUACAAAUUAUUAUGAAUUAUAUUUACCUUUUCUUUAUUUAUCAAACAUCUUACAUAAUUUUUUUAAAAUUUGAAAUAGUUUUGCAGGCUUUAAAUAUUAUCAUUCUCUAUUGUGUAAAACAAUCCUAACUAUUGUAGCGAUAAAAUUUUUUUUACCACACUGGGCAAUGUUAAAUAAAUGGAAUUAUUAUGAUUUGAUGCUUGUCUAUAAUUACUAAAGUUGAUAUAACAUAUUUUGAAGAAAAAAAAACAUGAUUUAACGUGGUUUAUAAUUCAUAUAAAUGUAUGUAAAGUUGCAUGUUUCUUGUUUGGUUUAAUAACUGCGAAUGAAAUUAACAAACUAGAUGAAGAAUAAUUAACGUUGUUGGCAAGAUGUUUUUCGUAAAAUUGAAAAAAAAAAA